This 84-nucleotide transfer RNA is filed under the name Candidatus Kaiserbacteria bacterium RIFCSPHIGHO2_01_FULL_49_13. RNAcentral's name for it is "tRNA-Tyr". It matches the Rfam family "tRNA". Rfam says of the family: Transfer RNA (tRNA) molecules are approximately 80 nucleotides in length. Their secondary structure includes four short double-helical elements and three loops (D, anti-codon, and T loops). Further hydrogen bonds mediate the characteristic L-shaped molecular structure. tRNAs have two regions of fundamental functional importance: the anti-codon, which is responsible for specific mRNA codon recognition, and the 3' end, to which the tRNAs corresponding amino acid is attached (by aminoacyl-tRNA synthetases). tRNAs cope with the degeneracy of the genetic code in two manners: having more than one tRNA (with a specific anti-codon) for a particular amino acid; and 'wobble' base-pairing, i.e. permitting non-standard base-pairing at the 3rd anti-codon position. Lineage: Bacteria; Candidatus Kaiseribacteriota. The record is from RNAcentral.
GCGUCGGUACCGAAGUGGUCAAACGGGGCAGGCUGUAAACCUGCUGGCUAUAUGCCUUCGUUGGUUCGAAUCCAACCCGGCGCA